UAUAUACUCCCUUCGUCUAGAAAUACUUGUCGGAAAAAUAGAUGUAUCUAGAUGUAUUUUAGAUCUAGAUGCAUCAAUUUUUAUCCAUUUCCCCGACAAAUAUUUCGGGACGGAGGGAGUAUAUG
Non-coding RNA from Triticum aestivum (bread wheat), 125 nucleotides. The record is from Rfam. NCBI's taxonomy places the organism in Eukaryota, Viridiplantae, Streptophyta, Magnoliopsida, Poales, Poaceae.